RNAcentral lists this ribosomal RNA (465 nucleotides) under uncultured bacterium. RNAcentral's name for it is "partial 16S ribosomal RNA". It matches the Rfam family "Bacterial small subunit ribosomal RNA", at positions 338 to 795 of the family's 1533-position model. The record is from RNAcentral.
CCUACGGGAGGCAGCAGUGGGGAAUAUUGCGCAAUGGACGAAAGCCUGACGCAGCGACGCCGCGUGAGGGAUGAAGGUCUUCGGAUCGUAAACCUCUGUCAGCAGGGAAGAACGGUCACUGUGCUAAUCAGCAGUGAAUUGACGGUACCUGCAAAGGAAGCACCGGCUAACUCCGUGCCAGCAGCCGCGGUAAUACGGAGGGUGCGAGCGUUAAUCGGAAUUACUGGGCGUAAAGCGCUCGUAGGCGGUAUGUCAAGUCAAGGGUGAAAUCCCCGCGCUCAACGUGGGAACUGCCUUUGAAACUGGCAAACUGGAGUGUGUGAGAGGAUAGUGGAAUUCCAGGUGUAGGAGUGAAAUGCGUAGAUAUCACGAGGAACCCCGAUUGCGAAGGCAGCCUGCCGGGGUGCGACUGACGCUGAGGCUCGAAGGUGCGGGUAUCAAACAGGAUUAGAUACCCGGGUAGUC